This is a non-coding RNA of Oncorhynchus tshawytscha (Chinook salmon), 73 nucleotides long. Lineage: Eukaryota; Metazoa; Chordata; Actinopteri; Salmoniformes; Salmonidae. The record is from the annotation of a RefSeq genome assembly.
GGCUCCAUAGCUCAGUGGUUAGAGCACUGGUCUCGUAAACCAGGGGUCGAGAGUUCAAAUCCCACUGGGGCCU